UUAUGGCUCAGAACGAACGCUGGUGGCGUGUCUAUACAUGCAAGUCGAGCGAGGCAGCAAUGCCGAGCGGCGAACGGGUGAGUAACGCGUAAGCAAUCUGCCCCAUAUCAGGAAAUACCCGUGCCAACGCGCGGUUAAUGUCCAGGAGAGUGGCCCUCUGCAUGGAGGGUUGACUAGAGAUUUAUCGGUAUGGGAUGAGCUUGCGUCCGAUUAGCUAGUUGGCGGGGCAACGGCCCACCAAGGCGACGAUCGGUAGCCGGCCUGAGAGGGUGAUCGGCCACAUUGGGACUGAGAUACGGCCCAGACUCCUACGGGAGGCAGCAGUAGGGAAUAUUGCACAAUGGGGGGAGCCCUGAUGCAGCAACGCCACGUGUGGGAAGAAGCAUUUCGGUGUGUAAACCACUGUCAUGAGGGAAUAAGGCCCGCCUCCGGGCGGGAUUGAAUGUACCUUGAGAGGAAGCACCGGCAAACUUCGUGCCAGCCGCCGC
This 488-nucleotide ribosomal RNA is filed under the name uncultured bacterium. RNAcentral's name for it is "bacterial SSU rRNA". It matches the Rfam family "Bacterial small subunit ribosomal RNA", at positions 17 to 518 of the family's 1533-position model. The record is from RNAcentral.